RNAcentral lists this long non-coding RNA (265 nucleotides) under Ananas comosus (pineapple). RNAcentral describes it as "long non-coding RNA (ACOM_LNC044596)". Lineage: Eukaryota; Viridiplantae; Streptophyta; Magnoliopsida; Poales; Bromeliaceae. The record is from RNAcentral.
UUAUCUUUUUACCAAUAGCAUUGCUAUCAAUAUCGCCUGCAUCAACAGCAUCCUUAAUUCCUUUAUAAAUUUCUGAUCGCAAGUCUAUCUGAUUUCUCCUGAUAUAAUCAAGACGGUCUUUGUCAAUACAUGAGAAUGCAUCGACCAAGUAUUGUUGAAAAAGUCUGCCUCCUCUUAUUAAUGUUUUUCCUUCAUUUAUUCUAUUUUGUAUUCUGUAAGCAUAAAAUUCACGCAUUGUAACAUAUUUUCUAGAUCCAAUUUUCCU